AAGAAAAAAAAUUCUUCGAUGGUACAAGAAAAGCACUCACCAAAUGAGAAGCACUCAGUUGAAAAAAAAAAGAGAAGAGAAAAUCAAAGAAAAAAGAACUGAGCAAUACAAGCUGAAAAAGAAAAGAAUUGGAAAUGAGAUGUAGAACAAACACAGUGAAAAGGAUAAUGACAUGGCUCUGAACCUAAACCACUUGUUUUUCCUUUUGUUUGUAUUUACCCCACCGUAA
Molecule: long non-coding RNA, 229 nt
Filed under: Lathyrus oleraceus (garden pea)
Lineage: Eukaryota; Viridiplantae; Streptophyta; Magnoliopsida; Fabales; Fabaceae
Description: Pisum sativum (pea) long non-coding RNA (PSAT_LNC005244)
Source: RNAcentral